This 3778-nucleotide long non-coding RNA is filed under the name Medicago truncatula (barrel medic). RNAcentral's name for it is "lncRNA gene22986". Lineage: Eukaryota; Viridiplantae; Streptophyta; Magnoliopsida; Fabales; Fabaceae. The record is from RNAcentral.
UCAUAUAUAAGUUGUUUUCAUAAACUAUCCCAACAACCUCACAUUGCCGGUAGAUAUGGUCAAACAAAUCAAUCCAUUGAGGUUGUAACUCAAUCAUAAGAAACCUGUUUAUAAGAUGAACAACGACUAUGAUUAUAAAUCAAUAUUGAAGAUCAAGAAAGAUGAAAUUCAUUAUAAAUAAGGCUAGCCUUCUAAAUUUCAUACAAGCAUAAGAGGCUUAUUAUAAUUUUGCUUAAUUGAAUAUUCGGUCUCUUAAUUUAAUUCAUUUUUUUUUAAGUUUUCCUUAACUAUUAAACGUUUCAUUUUGGUUCUUUCUCUUAUUUCCAUCAUUCAACUUGGUCCUAUUUCAUUAAUUUUAACCUCCUAAAAAAGAGGACCGUUGGAUAAAUGAGUUCUAUUAGAUCUAACUGUGUAUCACCAACACCUAAUUUAUUUUAGUUUGCUUCAUCUUCUUCCUCAUCUAUAAUUUCAUCUUCAUUUUUAGAACCUUCAUCAUCUUCAACCUUUUUUUUCUUUCAAAAAUUCACCAUUUCAAGUUUAACAAAAACAAAAUAAUCAAUCCCUUAACAUCAUUUAAAACAUACAAAUUAUUUCCCAAAAUAAAAUAAAAAUUCAAAGAGCAAUCAUAAGUCACCAAAUUCGGCUUGGACCGCAUGAUAUAUGCAGGGGUCAGGUUCGAACCUCAGACACUCCACUUCUCCACAAUUUAACAAUUUAAUUGUGCGAAGCUCUAGCCACAAGCUACUUGACAAAAAAAAAAAAAAAAAAAUUGAUUCCAGAAGCAGCUUCCAUGUUUUUGUAGAUUGUGACCAAAUUGUCAAUAUGAGGAGCAGGACGUACCUCUGAAGUUAAUCAUAGUUAAUAAAUUAGGGUUUGAUUAAGAUUAGGGUUUGUUAAUCAUAAACAGAUGAUAAUUUCUGUUGUGAGUUUGGAGAGUGAAAAUGCGGAAUGAAGUAAACCCAAACUGUACAAUGAAUAAAGAAAGGGUUAUUAUGAAGAAAAUGAAUUGAAUUAGAGAGGAAGAAGAACACGAUAAUGAUAAUUGAAUUGAAUUGAAUUGGUAGUUGGUACCAGAUUGGACAUUUGAGUUCUCUGCCCAUGUUUUCAAGAUCCACCAUUUUGAAUUUCUCUGAAUGAACCACGGUGAAUUAGUGAUAGAAGAAGGGUUUUAAUGAAGUUUUGAGAAAUAAUUUGUAUGUUUUAAAUGAUAUUAAGGGUUUGAUUAUCUUAUUUUUGUUAAAUUUGAAAUGAUGAAUUUUUGAAAGAAAAAAAAGUUGAAGACGAUGAAGAUUGACGAAGGUUCUAAAAAUGAAGAUGAAAUUUUAGACGAGGAAGAAGAUGAAGCAAACUAAAAUAAAUUAGGUGUUGGUGAUACACGGUUAGAUCUAAUAGAUCUCAUUUAUCCAACGAUCCUCUUUUUUAGGAGGUUAAAAUUAAUGAAAUAUGACCAAAUUAAAUGAUAAAAAUAAAAUAAAUGACCAAAAUAAAACGUUUAAUAGUUAAUGGACUAACUUAAAAAAAAGAAUUAAGUUAAGAGACUAAAUAUGUAAUUAAACUUUAUAAUUAUUAUGUGAUUAAUUAAUCUUGACUUUCUUUACAUUUGAGAGUGUCCUAUAUAUAAUUGAUAUUCUAUUUAGUUAUAUGUAUAGAUAGAUUAAGCUUCUAUAACUUGAUAUCAACGCUACAUGAUCUACAUAUUUAGUUUAAAGUGACCCUUCAAUUGCUAAACACAAAUAGUGUUAAACUAGAAGUAAUAAAAGAAUACUACAGCCGGUCCCAUAAAUAAGAAAAUAUUAAGUCAACAAAAGUUUAUUUAUUUUGUCUGCAUACAUCAACUUUUAUUCGCCUAAUUUUUUUCUUAUAUAUAUAGGACUAGAGGGUGUAAUAUACAAUUUGACCAAUUCAUUUUAACACCAAUUAUAAGACAUCAAUAUCUUAAUUAGACCCACCACAUCUUACAUUAUUAUAUUUGUAUUUCCAACAUUUAGGGAAUAGAAAAAAUAGAGAGGGUAAAAAAUGAAAAAAAUCUUGACCUCGUGCUUUAUCUAAUAUGGAUUAAAUAUAGGGUUAAAUAUGUUUUUGAUCUCUAUAAAUAUGUCAACUUUUCGUUUUAGUCCCUCUAAAAAAUUUCUUCAACUUUUAGUCCCUAAUUUUUUUUCCAUUUUCACUUUUAGUCCCUCCUUUAAAGUAAACUUAUAUGUAAAAUACAUAUUUUUGAAGAAAAAUUCAUAAUAUUAUAAGAAUCUCUCCCAAAAAAAUUGGAAUUUAUUAACAAAAUAUGAAUUUUUAUAUUUUUAACGGUUAAAAAUUCAUAUUUAAUUUAUGAUUAUUUUUUGGAAUUUUUUUUUUUGCAAUAUUCUACACAUUUCUGCACAAUUUCAUUAAAAUUACAAAAAUUAACUUAAAAAUAGGGACCAAAAGCAGUGAUUGAAAAUUUUAUAGAUACCACAUGUUAAAGGAAAAUUUUAGAGGGACUAAAACAUAAAAUUGGUAUAUUAAUAGGGACCAAAAACAUAUUUAAUCCUUAAAUAUAUUAACAAAAUCGAGGAAUAGACUAUGGAGGAAGAAAAUAAGAGUGGAAAAUAGUUAUAAGUACCUACACUCUUUUUGACCACAACCUGUGUAUAAAAUCCUAUUCACGAACCUCCUCCAUCAAUUCUUCAACAUACACUCUAAUUUCCUUUUUUAAUGAUUUUCUAAUCAUGAGUUUAGUAUUUGCAAUUGUAGUUACUAGUUAUAUUGCACUAUUUUUUAUUUUAUUUUAAUUUCACCAUAGUUUUUUCCCUUUGAGUUUUUCUGAAAAGGAUUUUAAUGAGAUAGUUGUUGGUUGUUUAUCAUGAUUGAACUCUUUAGUUUUGAUCUGAAUCUCUUUACUUUAUUUUAUUUUAUUUUAUUUUAUUCUAAUAAAUAUAUUGUGUUGCUUCAAAUGACAAACAAUGGUCUUAUUAGAAUGUCAUUUAUGUCAUGUAAUUCAUUUGCACUCUAAUUUUUACUUAGAAAAAUAUUGCUUUUAUUUAUUAUAGUAGUUUAUUAUAUUCAUGGAGUGAUGGUUUUUGUAAUAUCUAUUAGGAGAAAACGAAAGUAAAAAUAUUUGCAUAUUAUAACAUGAAUUUUGUUUAUCAUGUGCAGACUUGCAUAGUAUAAGAAAAAGUAAGUUUACUGCAAAAUUGAAAGGCCAAAGAAACAUAAAUCAAAUUUCAAAAUAAAUUAUAAAAGUUCAAAUAUUAUGGCAUACAAAAAAAAUUAUACCUUCCUUAAAAAAAAAAAAAUCAUACCUUAGGAGCAACAUAAUUUUUUUGCACCUGAUUAAUAUCUCCAUUACUAGAAAAUUUAGUUUUAGCGACGGCUGGAGUCCGUCGCAAAGUAGGCUAAUUUCCUUCGCAAACAUUUUUCUGACGAAUUUUGCGACGAACCAAAAAUCCGUCACAAUAGUGGGCGUCAUAAAAAGUUAGCGAGGGAAAAUCAAAUCCGUCAUAUAUUGCGGUAUAGUAGAGGGAUCUAUGGAUUUGUACACACAAAAACCGUCGUUACACCUAUAUGUAUAAUAUAUCUUCCAUGGACAAUCACUAUCAGAAUUGCAAGGAAUGUUGGCUGCAUGGUCAAACAAUAAACAAAUAAAUGUUACAAAAGGUGAUAAAAUAGUGUAUAAGAUAAAUUAGAAAUUUUAAAAAUGGUGUGAAAAAUUACAUACCGCUACUAGUUAUAACAAGAAAUAGGAAAAUAUAGAUGAUCAAAGCAGAAACAAACAUGAGAAUUUGAACCGUAUUUUUCCUCCUUA